UGAGGGAAUAUUGGUCAAUGGGCGAGAGCCUGAACCAGCCAAGUAGCGUGCAGGACGACGGCCCUAUGGGUUGUAAACUGCUUUUGCGCGGGGAUAAAGUGCGCCACGUGUGGCUCAUUGCAGGUACCGCGCGAAUAAGGACCGGCUAAUUCCGUGCCAGCAGCCGCGGUAAUACGGAAGGUCCGGGCGUUAUCCGGAUUCAUUGGGUUUAAAGGGAGCGCAGGCCGCCCCUUAAGCGUGUUGUGAAAUGCCGCGGCUCAACCGUGGCACUGCAGCGCGAACUGGGCGGCUUGAGUUACCUGUAGGCAGGCGGAAUUCGUGGUGUAGCGGUGAAAUGCUUAGAUAUCACGAAGAACCCCGAUUGCGAAGGCAGCUUGCCGUAGGUUGACUGACGCUGAUGCUCGAAGGCGCGGGUAUCGAACAGGAUUAGAUACCCUGGUAGU
Molecule: ribosomal RNA, 443 nt
Filed under: uncultured Prevotella sp.
Lineage: Bacteria; Pseudomonadati; Bacteroidota; Bacteroidia; Bacteroidales; Prevotellaceae
Description: bacterial SSU rRNA
Rfam family: Bacterial small subunit ribosomal RNA
Source: RNAcentral